This is an RNA transcript of Pseudophryne corroboree (corroboree frog), 2084 nucleotides long. It is a transcript of the gene named TBCC domain containing 1, with no coding region annotated. The record is from RefSeq and is a predicted model, not a curated record. NCBI's taxonomy places the organism in Eukaryota, Metazoa, Chordata, Amphibia, Anura, Myobatrachidae. The transcript has 8 exons.
AUGAUGGAUUCGUACAGAGUGCAGCUGUGGGGGAGAACGGAUCCGUUUCUCAUAGGGGUCCUGCAGUUCCCACCGCCGGCGAAGUUUAAUAUGCACUAUUUGAGGAAGAUGGCCACAUACGUGCGAACCCGACCAGGGGAGCAGUGUUACCCGCGCCUGUACUGGAGCAUGUGGCGGCACAUUGCUUGCGGAAAGCUGCAGCUGGUGGAGGACACAGCAUGGCUUUACUUCGAGGCGUUUCACAGCCUGACGGAGCGGAAUGCACCUCGGAGCCUAGAGUGGGCUGAGACCGUCUGCAGCUGCACUAGUAUGGAUGAGUAUGAGAGGGUUAGAAGUAAGCUUUCAGUGGACACACACCAGUUUCUUCUUUUUCUCUAUAUUCAACAAAUAAAUAAAGUUUCUCUGCGUACUUCUCUGAUCGGGGAGGAAUGGCCCAGUCCGAGAGUUAGAUCCCCUACUCCUGAUUUAGUGGGACAGUCUAACUUUCAUAACAAGAACUGGGACGAAUAUAGCCACCAUGCAUUUAUUCAGAAUCAUAUGUCAUAUCUCUUGGAGUUGCUUUUGGACCCUGACCAGCUCACUAAAUCCUCCCACUCCACUCACUGUAGCCUGGUGUCCCUUGAGGCUGCCCAAGCUCUUGGCUUUCUCAUUGAGGGAACACUGAAUAAGAACAGGACCAUUCAUUCUUUUAUUGAUUUAGCCCUUUAUCAGCCACUGCAAGCUAGAAAUGGUUACUCAAAGACAACUGAAUCAUUCUCGCUGAAAAAGUUACAGGCCUGGAUUAAGGAAUGCUUUGCAUUGAAUCCAUUUGGGAUGUCGGCAUGUAUAAAGUCUGGAAGAAAAUUGGCUUGGGCACAACCAAUUGACGUGUCAAACCGAAGGGCAAAAAUUGUUUGCAACAUUUACAAAGUUCCACGCGGUAAUCACAUGGUUAUCAUGAGUCACAUUUCCAGACAGACAUUGGCUAAGAGUUCAGAAACAUUGGUGGAAGCACGUGUUAAGAUAAAUCACUGCACUGAGUCGUACAUAUAUUUGCUAUCUCCAUUAAGAUGUGUGACCAUUGAGAAAUGUCGGAAUAGCACAAUCAUUUUGGGGCCAGUGCAAACUGUCCUUCAUGUUCAAAUGUGUGACCAUGUGAAAGUUAUUAGUGUUUGUCAGCGCUUGUCGCUGUCCUCCACAACAAGCUGUACAUUUCAUGUACUCACUCCUACAAGGCCUCUCUUAUUCUCUGGCAACCAGGGGGCUGUUUUUGCUCCAUUUCAUACACACUAUUCAAUGCUAGAAGACCACAUGGGACAAACUGGUUUAGCUACUGUGCCCAAUUAUUGGGAUAGGCCACAAUUCCUAUCUGCUGAGACUGACCAUCAAGCUUGGAAACUUAUGUCCCCUCGAGAAUUUUAUACAUUUGUUGUCCCAUUUGAAAUAGAAGGGGACACAACUGAGAUUCCAGGAGGCCUACCCCCAGUGUUUCUUAAAUCAAUGGAACAGCGACAACAAAAGGUACAGAUGUGGCAGAAGACUGUUAAGGAAGCAAAGUUAACCAGAGAGCAGAGAAAGCAAUUCCAAGCACUUGUUGAGUACAAAUUUAAUGAAUGGCUACUUAAGACUGGAAAUAGACAUCAACUGGACAGCCUUGUGCCCCCAAAUGAUGGUACAAACCAGGCAGCUGGAUAGAGUAUCCGGAGAUUUCUGUCAGGCACAAAAAUAUAUUUUCACUGUCAAUGAUCAUAAAAUGGAAUACAGAUGUAGCAGCUCUCAUCCCGUGAUGCGUGUGACCGGGUGUGAAUAGUCUCACCUGUAUUUAGACAGUGCAUUGUCUGUGGACCGUGGAUGUGAAGACUCGCACGUGCCUGUUCGCGGGCACACUACCUGCUAAAUACUAAUCACAGGAUUUUCACAUUAAUCACCUUCAUCUUGGAAUGUCGAAAACUUGAGUUUGCUGAAAGAUGUAACAAUCCAGUAGCACUGAAUUGACCAUUUUCAGUGGUUUUUAGUCUAAAAAUGGAAGAAAAAAAAUCGACAGCAAAUAUAGCAUUGCAACUCAUCGGUCGUUUUUAAAUUCAUAAAUAAACAAUUUAAGUGUC